Ribosomal RNA from Corchorus capsularis, 119 nucleotides. Lineage: Eukaryota; Viridiplantae; Streptophyta; Magnoliopsida; Malvales; Malvaceae. The record is from Rfam.
GGGUGCGAUCAUACCAGCACUAAUGCACCGGAUCCCAUUAGAACUACGCAGUUAAGCUUGCUUGGGCGAGUGUAGUACUAGGAUGGGUGACCUCCUGGGAAGUCCUCGUGUUGCACCCC